Molecule: ribosomal RNA, 2197 nt
Filed under: bioreactor sludge metagenome
Description: bacterial LSU rRNA
Rfam family: Bacterial large subunit ribosomal RNA
Source: RNAcentral
ACAAGCUACGAAGGGCACAUGGUGGAUGCCUUGGCAUCGAGAGCCGAAGAAGGACGUAGGAGCCUGCGAUAAGCCCUGGGGAGUUGGCAACCGAGCUGUGAUCCGGGGAUGUCCGAAUGGGGAAACCCAGCUGGAGUCAUGUCCAGUUACCCGCGCCUGAAUAUAUAGGGCGUGCGGAGGGAACGUGGGGAAGUGAAACAUCUCAGUACCCACAGGAAGAGAAAACAAAAGUGAUUCCGAGAGUAGUGGCGAGCGAAAUCGGAACAGGCCAAACCGUAUCUGUGUGAUAGCCGGCAGGCGUUGCAGGUACGGGGUUGUGGGACCACUCAGGUCGAUCUGCCGGUCGACCACGAAGUCACAAAAUGCAAGCUAAGUUGAAUCCCGUUGGAAAGCGGAACCGUAGAGGGUGAUAGUCCCGUAAGCGUAAACUUGCAUCUUCGGAGUGGCAUCCCAAGUAACACGGAACCCCUGAAAUUCCGUGUGAAUCUGGCGGGACCACCCGUUAAGCCUAAAUACUCCUCGAUGACCGAUAGCGGACAAGUACCGUGAGGGAAAGGUGAAAAGUACCCCUGGCGGGGAGUGAAAUAGUACCUGAAACCGUGUGCCUACAAUCCGUUGGAGCUCAUCCUUGUGAUGGGUGACAGCGUGCCUUUUGAAGAAUGAGCCUGCGAGUUUGCGUUGUGUUGCAAGGUUAACCCGUGUGGGGAAGCCGUAGCGAAAGCGAGUCCGAAUAGGGCGUCUGAGUAGCACGAUCAAGACCCGAAGCGAAGUGAUCUAUCCAUGGGCAGGUUGAAGCGCGGGUAAGACCGCGUGGAGGACCGAACCCACUUAGGUUGAAAACUGAGGGGAUGACCUGUGGAUAGGGGUGAAAGGCCAAUCAAACUUCGUGAUAGCUGGUUCUCCCCGAAAUGCAUUUAGGUGCAGCGUUGCGUGUUUCUUGCCGGAGGUAGAGCACUGGAUAGCCGAUGGGCCCGACCAGGUUACUGACGUUAGCCAAACUCCGAAUGCCGGUAAGUGAGAGCGCAGCAGUGAGACUGCGGGGGAUAAGCUCCGUAGUCGAAAGGGAAACAGCCCAGACCAUCAGCUAAGGCCCCUAAGCGGUGACUAAGUGGAAAAGGAUGUGGAGUUGCAGUGACAACCAGGAGGUUGGCUUGGAAGCAGCCACCCUUGAAAGAGUGCGUAAUAGCUCACUGGUCAAGUGAUUCCGCGCCGACAAUGUAGCGGGGCUCAAGUCAUCCGCCGAAGCUAUGGCAUUCAGACAAUAGUCAAGCCUUCGUGGUUCAGACGUCUGGAUGGGUAGGGGAGCGUCGUGUCGCGAGUGAAGCCUCGGAGUGAUCCAGGGGUGGACGCGACACGAGUGAGAAUGCAGGCAUGAGUAGCGAAUGAGGAGUGAGAAACUCCUCCGCCGAAUGAUCAAGGGUUCCAGGGUCAAGCUAAUCUGCCCUGGGUAAGUCGGGACCUAAGGCGAGGCCGACAGGCGUAGUCGAUGGACAACGGGUUGAUAUUCCCGUACCGGCAAAGUAGCGCCCAUGACGAACCUGGUGAUGCUAACUGCCCGAAUUCGCAGUUACCGAACCCUUCGGGGGGAGGAGCUGCGAGCUAGCGCGGGACCCGAACCAGUAGUAGUCAAGCGAUGGGGUGACGCAGGAAGGUAGCCCAACCGUGGCGAUGGUUGUCCACGGGCAAGAGUGUAGGGAGCCACCUAGGCAAAUCCGGGUGGCAUGUUCCUGAGACUUGACGCGGAGUCCGUAUGGACGAAGUGGGUAAUCCUAUGCUGUCGAGAAAAACCUCUAGCGAGCUAUGCGCCGCCCGUACCCCAAACCGACUCAGGUGAUCAGGUAGAGAAUACCAAGGCGAUCGAGUGAACCAUGGUUAAGGAACUCGGCAAAAUGCCCCCGUAACUUCGGGAGAAGGGGGGCCGGAUCCGUCAAUGCCCUAGCGGCAGGCAGCGGUGAUGGCCGCAGAGACCAGGCCCAAGCGACUGUUUACUAAAAACACAGGUCCGUGCGAAGUUGUAAGACGAUGUAUACGGACUGACUCCUGCCCGGUGCUGGAAGGUUAAGAGGACCGGUUAGACACAUUGUGUCGAAGCUGAGAAUUUAAGCCCCAGUAAACGGCGGUGGUAACUAUAACCAUCCUAAGGUAGCGAAAUUCCUUGUCGGGUAAGUUCCGACCUGCACGAAUGGAGUAACGACUU